RNAcentral lists this ribosomal RNA (1310 nucleotides) under Gemmiger sp. An87. Its description in RNAcentral is "bacterial LSU rRNA". It matches the Rfam family "Bacterial large subunit ribosomal RNA", at positions 1596 to 2925 of the family's 2925-position model. The record is from RNAcentral. Lineage: Bacteria; Bacillati; Bacillota; Clostridia; Eubacteriales; Oscillospiraceae.
GCAUGGAGAGAGGCGAGAAAAGCCAUGUGUAUUUGUAAGGUGCCCGUACCGCAAACCGACACAGGUAGGUAGGAAGAGGAUUCUAAGGCCAACGGGAGAAGGGUUGUUAAGGAACUCGGCAAGUUGACCCCGUAACUUCGGGAGAAGGGGUGCUCACGAGAGUGAGCCGCAGAGAAUAGGCCCAAGCAACUGUUUAGCAAAAACACAGGUCUGUGCUAAAUCGAAAGAUGACGUAUACGGGCUGACACCUGCCCGGUGCUGGAAGGUUAAGGGGAGUUGUGCAAGCAGCGAACUGAAGCCCCAGUAAACGGCGGCCGUAACUAUAACGGUCCUAAGGUAGCGAAAUUCCUUGUCAGGUAAGUUCUGACCCGCACGAAUGGUGUAAUGAUUUGGGCACUGUCUCAACAGCCCGCCCGGCGAAAUUGUAGUACCGGUGAAGAUGCCGGUUACCCGCGACAAGACGGAAAGACCCCAUGGAGCUUUACUGUAGCCUAAUAUUGGGUCUUGGUAUUACAUGUACAGGAUAGGUGGGAGACUAGGAAACCCGGGCGUCAGCUCGGGCGGAGUCACCCUUGGGAUACCACCCUUGUGAUACUAGGAUUCUAACCUGCGGCCCUGAAUCGGGUCGGGGGACAUUGUUAGGUGGGCAGUUUGACUGGGGCGGUCGCCUCCUAAAGCGUAGCGGAGGCGUUCAAAGGUUGGCUCAGCAUGGACGGAAACCAUGCUAUUGAGUGCAAACGCAUAAGCCAGCCUAACUGCGAGACCGACGGGUCGAGCAGUAACGAAAGUUGGAGUUAGUGAUCCGGUGGUAUGUGAGUGGAAAUGCCAUCGCUCAACGGAUAAAAGUUACCCUGGGGAUAACAGGCUGAUCUCCCCCAAGAGUCCACAUCGACGGGGAGGUUUGGCACCUCGAUGUCGGCUCAUCGCAUCCUGGGGCUGUAUUCGGUCCCAAGGGUUUGGCUGUUCGCCAAUUAAAGCGGUACGCGAGCUGGGUUCAGAACGUCGUGAGACAGUUCGGUCCCUAUCUGUCGUGGGCGCAGGAUAUUUGAUGGGAUCUGUCCCUAGUACGAGAGGACCGGGAUGGACGCACCUCUGGUGCACCAGUUGUCACGCCAGUGGCACAGCUGGGCAGCUAUGUGCGGAUCGGAUAAACGCUGAAAGCAUCUAAGCGUGAAGCCGGCCCAAAGAUAAGAUAUCCCACUGAGUUAAUCAGGUAAGACCCCUUGAAGACUACAAGGUUGAUAGGCACAAAGUGUAAGCAUGGUGACAUGUUGAGCUAGCGUGUACUAAUAGGUCGAGGGCUUGACCAC